UGGCGGCUGUAGCGCGGUGGUCCCACCUGACCCCAUGCCGAACUCAGAAGUGAAACGCCGUAGCGCCGAUGGUAGUGUGGGGUCUCCCCAUGCGAGAGUAGGGAACUGCCAGGCAU
This 116-nucleotide ribosomal RNA is filed under the name Citrobacter freundii MGH 56. The record is from RNAcentral. Lineage: Bacteria; Pseudomonadati; Pseudomonadota; Gammaproteobacteria; Enterobacterales; Enterobacteriaceae.